RNAcentral lists this ribosomal RNA (714 nucleotides) under uncultured bacterium. Its description in RNAcentral is "bacterial SSU rRNA". It matches the Rfam family "Bacterial small subunit ribosomal RNA", at positions 39 to 732 of the family's 1533-position model. The record is from RNAcentral.
GCGGCAGGCCUAACACAUGCAAGUCGAGCGGAAACGAGUUAUCUGAACCUUCGGGGAACGAUAACGGCGUCGAGCGGCGGACGGGUGAGUAAUGCCUAGGAAAUUGCCUUGAUGUGGGGGAUAACCAUUGGAAACGAUGGCUAAUACCGCAUGAUGCCUACGGGCCAAAGAGGGGGACCUUCGGGCCUCUCGCGUCAAGAUAUGCCUAGGUGGGAUUAGCUAGUUGGUGAGGUAAUGGCUCACCAAGGCGACGAUCCCUAGCUGGUCUGAGAGGAUGAUCAGCCACACUGGAACUGAGACACGGUCCAGACUCCUACGGGAGGCAGCAGUGGGGAAUAUUGCACAAUGGGCGCAAGCCUGAUGCAGCCAUGCCGCGUGUAUGAAGAAGGCCUUCGGGUUGUAAAGUACUUUCAGCGGUGAGGAAGGGGGUGUCGUUAAUAGCGGCAUUUCUUGACGUUAGCUGCAGAAGAAGCACCGGCUAACUCCGUGCCAGCAGCCGCGGUAAUACGGAGGGUGCGAGCGUUAAUCGGAAUUACUGGGCGUAAAGCGCAUGCAGGUGGUUUGUUAAGUCAGAUGUGAAAGCCCGGGGCUCAACCUCGGAACUGCAUUUGAAACUGGCAAACUAGAGUACUGUAGAGGGGGGUAGAAUUUCAGGUGUAGCGGUGAAAUGCGUAGAGAUCUGAAGGAAUACCAGUGGCGAAGGCGGCCCCCUGG